RNAcentral lists this ribosomal RNA (333 nucleotides) under uncultured eukaryote. Its description in RNAcentral is "partial 18S ribosomal RNA". It matches the Rfam family "Eukaryotic small subunit ribosomal RNA", at positions 1470 to 1796 of the family's 1831-position model. The record is from RNAcentral.
CCCUUAGAUGUUCUGGGCCGCACGCGCGCUACAAUGAUGAAUUCAACGAGUUUAUAACCUUGGUUGAAAAGCCUGGGUAAUCUUUUGAACUUUCGUCGUGAUGGGGCUAGACCCUUGCAAUUAUUGGUCUCCAACGAGGAAUUCCUAGUAAACGCAAGUCAUCAGCUUGCAUUGAUUACGUCCCUGCCCUUUGUACACACCGCCCGUCGCUACUACCGAUUGAAUGGCUUAGUGAGAUCCUUGGAUCGGCCCUGUCGCGGCUGGCAACGGCCGCGUCGGCGCGUCGAGAAGACGAUCAAACUUGAUCAUUUAGAGGAAGUAAAAGUCGUAACA